RNAcentral lists this ribosomal RNA (523 nucleotides) under uncultured bacterium. RNAcentral describes it as "bacterial SSU rRNA". It matches the Rfam family "Bacterial small subunit ribosomal RNA", at positions 8 to 518 of the family's 1533-position model. The record is from RNAcentral.
AGGGUUCGAUUCUGGCUCAGGAUGAACGCUAGCUACAGGCUUAACACAUGCAAGUCGCGGGGCAGCAUGUUGGUUGCUUGCAACCAAUGAUGGCGACCGGCGCACGGGUGAGUAACGCGUAUCCAACCUUCCCCUUAGUAGGGCAUAGCCCGGCGAAAGUCGGAUUAAUACCCUAUGUUGUUUGAUGCGGACAUCUAAAUCAAACCAAAGAUUCAUCGCUAAGGGAUGGGGAUGCGUCCGAUUAGCUUGCCGGCGGGGUAACGGCCCACCGGGGCUUCGAUCGGUAGGGGUUCUGAGAGGAAGGUCCCCCCACACUGGAACUGAGACACGGUCCAGACUCCUACGGGAGGCAGCAGUGAGGAAUAUUGGUCAAUGGGCGUAAGCCUGAACCAGCCAAGUAGCCGUGCAGGAAGACGGCCCUAUGGGUUGUAAACUGCUUUUGCACGGGAAUAAAGUUCGGCACGCGUGCCGUUUUGCAUGUACCGUGAGAAUAAGGACCGGCUAAUUCCGUGCCAGCCGCCGC